RNAcentral lists this ribosomal RNA (549 nucleotides) under uncultured Glomus. RNAcentral describes it as "SSU rRNA". It matches the Rfam family "Eukaryotic small subunit ribosomal RNA", at positions 548 to 1098 of the family's 1831-position model. The record is from RNAcentral. Lineage: Eukaryota; Fungi; Glomeromycota; Glomeromycetes; Glomerales; Glomeraceae.
UUGGAGGGCAAGUCUGGUGCCAGCAGCCGCGGUAAUUCCAGCUCCAAUAGCGUAUAUUAAAGUUGUUGCAGUUAAAAAGCUCGUAGUUGAAUUUCGGGGUUAGUAGGUUGGUCAUGCCUCUGGUAUGUACUGGUCUCACUGAUUCCUCCUUCCUUAUGAACCGUAAUGCCAUUAAUUUGGUGUUGCGGGGAAUUUGGACUGUUACUUUGAAAAAAUUAGAGUGUUUAAAGCAAGCUAACGCUUGAAUACAUCAGCAUGGAAUAAUGAAAUAGGACGUUCGAUCUUAUUUUGUUGGUUUCUAGGAUUGACGUAAUGAUUAAUAGGGAUAGUUGGGGGCAUUAGUGUUCAAUUGUCAGAGGUGAAAUUCUUGGAUUUAUUGAAGACUAACUACUGCGAAAGCAUUUGCCAAGGAUGUUUUCAUUAGUCAAGAACGAAAGUUAGGGGAUCGAAGACGAUCAGAUACCGUCGUAGUCUUAACCAUAGACUAUGCCGACUAGGGAUCGGAUGAUGUUAAUUUUUUAAUGACUCAUUCGGCGCCUUACGGGAAAC